AUGGACAUGCGUCGCAUUAGGUAGACGGCGGGGUAACGGCCCACCGUGCCGACGAUGCGUAGGGGUUCUGAGAGGAAGGCCCCCCACACUGGUACUGAGACACGGACCAGACUCCUACGGGAGGCAGCAGUGAGGAAUAUUGGUCAAUGGCCGAGAGGCUGAACCAGCCAAGUCGCGUGAGGGAAGAAUGUCCUAAGGAUUGUAAACCUCUUUUGUCGGGGAGCAAAAAGGCUCUGCGGAGUCGUAUUGAGAGUACCCGAAGAAAAAGCAUCGGCUAACUCCGUGCCAGCAGCCGCGGUAAUACGGAGGAUGCGAGCGUUAUCCGGAUUUAUUGGGUUUAAAGGGUGCGCAGGCGGCGUGUCAAGCAAGCGGUAAAAUAGCGGGGCUCAACCCCGUCGAGCCGUUUGAACUGGCGCGCUUGAGUUCAGGCGAGGUAGGCGGAAUUCGUGGUGUAGCGGUGAAAUGCAUAGAUAUCACGAAGAACUCCGAUUGCGAAGGCAGCUUACCAGUCUGCGACUGACGCUCAGGCACGAAAGUGUGGGUAUCGAACAGGAUUAGAUACCCUGGUAGUCCACACAGUAAACGAUGAGCGCUAGGUGUCCGGGUCGCAUGAGACUUGG
This 620-nucleotide ribosomal RNA is filed under the name uncultured bacterium. Its description in RNAcentral is "bacterial SSU rRNA". It matches the Rfam family "Bacterial small subunit ribosomal RNA", at positions 225 to 842 of the family's 1533-position model. The record is from RNAcentral.